This 1120-nucleotide long non-coding RNA is filed under the name Anas platyrhynchos platyrhynchos (common mallard). RNAcentral's name for it is "lncRNA (ENSAPLG00000021361.1)". Lineage: Eukaryota; Metazoa; Chordata; Aves; Anseriformes; Anatidae. The record is from RNAcentral.
AGCACGGGCUCUUCUCUGUGGUCUCUGCUAGCUGCUUGUUCUCCUGCUCGUCCCCAGCCUCAGGAUUCCUCUCUGCUGCUGUUCCACGCUCACAGAAGUUGCGUUGUGCCUGCCGAGCUCUUGGGGAGCUGGAUGCACAGAGAGCUUUCCUUAUCCAAGCUCAGGCCCGAGAGCUUGCUAGCAUCACUUAUUAAUUCCUCCUGGGCAUUUAGAGCAGCUCAGGAACCACUCAAGCAGCCGUCUUUCCCUGCCAAGCCUGUUAAUUUGUAGCUGUUGCUUUGGAAUGGGCCUCAGAGGGGCAGCAUCGAUACCGGCAGCUGUGGCAAGGCCGAGCAAUGGGGCUGAAGGCAGCCCCCUCUGCACUGCUCUGUGUCUUCCAGGUGCAUCAAGCUGCAGCUGGAAGGGGAGGCAGCGCAGGCAGAGGCUUGGGACUGGCUAGCAGCAAACCAGCUCUCUGCGCUGGUCACCACCAAGGAGUCCAGGUAAGCCCGUGUCCCUGGUGGAGGGGAGCAGAGCCGCUCUCUGAGCAGAGGCAAAGUCUUGCAGGAGCCCUGAGGGUCAGCAGCUCAUAAAUCCCUGUCUGGUGGCUGCCUUAAAGCAGACCCAAGGGACCGGGGUGGCCAAAAAGCCAUGCAGCACAACCUGCUUUGCUGGGACACGAACCCAGGCAGCAGGACGGGUCCCCUGGGGCACGCCGCGGCACUGCAGGCAGUCACAGCUGCUGGCAGGGCUGCUGAGGGAAAAUAUUGCCUUGCAGCGCCACAGAUGAAGCCUGGCGGCUGCUGUCAUCCUAUUUGGAGCGUUACCCAUCGCAGAACAGCCUGUACCAUCGCUGCGUCAUCAACAAGCUCCUGGCACACGGGAUCCCUCUGCCCAACUGGCUCAUUAACAGCUACAAGAAAGUGGAUGCGGCCGAGCUGCUGCGCCUCUACCUCAACUACGACCUGCUGGAGGAGGCUGCAGAUUUGGUGCUGGAGUACGUGGAUGCUGUGCUGGGCAAGGGGCACCAGUACUUUGGGAUUGAGGUGAGCAGCCUGGGCUGGGCUGGGCUGUGGCCCAGGGGCUCCUCUUUGCCACGGGCACGAGGCACAAAGGUUCCUCUCCCCUCCAGCACCCGCUG